RNAcentral lists this long non-coding RNA (3511 nucleotides) under Gossypium barbadense (sea-island cotton). RNAcentral describes it as "long non-coding RNA (GBAR_LNC013882)". The record is from RNAcentral. Lineage: Eukaryota; Viridiplantae; Streptophyta; Magnoliopsida; Malvales; Malvaceae.
AAGGGAGGUAAAGCCGAUAAACCGAAUGAACGAUUAGAAGGUAAAAUGAUUGGUGACUUGUUGUUACUCAUUGUUUCUUUAGGUGGGAGAAACCGGGGCAUAGUCCUAUGUUCGGCUACGAUUUUUGGUACCAACCUCGACAUAAAACAAUGAUCAGCUCAUCAUGGGGUGCUCCUGUUGCCUUCACCAAAGGUUUCGAUCUUCAGCAUGUCACGGAUGGUCUGUAUGGGAGACAUCUGCAUGUGUAUAGUUGGCCUGAUGGUGAACUUAAACAAACGUUGGAUCUAGGUGACACCGGUCUCAUACCCUUAGAGGUGAUUGAUUACAUGUUACUACUUCGUUUUUAGCUCGGUUUUGCUCGAAGUCGAUACUUAGUUUUGUUUCAUUUUCAUUGCAGACAAGAUUCCUGCAUGAUCCUUCUAAAGAUACAGGGUACGUUGGGUGCGCCUUAACAAGUAACAUGGUUCGGUUUUUCAAAACCAAAGACGGAUCAUGGAGUCAUGAGGUGGGAUCAUAUAAUCUUGCAUUACCAAUGCUCAUAAAUUUGGACAAGCCUUAUUAUGUACAUAUUAACUUCUGCAGGUGGCAAUCUCAGUGAAACCAUUGAAGGUGCAAAACUGGAUUCUUCCCGAAAUGCCCGGACUUAUAACUGACUUCCUAAUCUCUCUCGAUGAUCGUUUUCUGUAUUUCGCCAACUGGCUGCACGGAGAUGUCCGACAAUACAACAUCGAGGACCCCAAAAACCCGGUCUUGGUCGGCCAAGUAUGGGUUGGAGGAUUGAUCCAAAAGGGAAGCCCUGUAGUGGCUAUGACUGAAGAUGGUAAAACAUGGCAAUCCGAUGUUCCGGAAAUCCUGGUUUGUUCUAACAUUAAUAUCAACUUGUGCGGAUUAAUCAUAUCAAUGGCGAUCGAUGAACAUUGUUACAUCCUUUUACAGGGACAUCGCCUAAGAGGAGGACCACAGAUGAUCCAAUUGAGCCUAGACGGUAAACGAUUAUACGUGACGAACUCUCUAUUCAGCGCAUGGGAUCGACAAUUCUAUCCAGAACUCUUGGAGAAAGGUUCCCACAUGUUGCAGAUCGAUGUCAACACCAUGGAAGGCGGUCUUAAAACAAACCCAAACUUCUUUGUCGAUUUUGGAGCCGAACCUGAUGGACCUUCCCUGGCUCAUGAGAUGAGAUAUCCAGGUGGUGACUGCACUUCAGAUAUAUGGACUUAAACAUCUCAAAAACCAGUUUCAGCCAUGAAGAAAAUCAUCCUUUUAAUUUUGUAGGACAAAAAUAAAAAUCAGUGCAAUUUGUAUGUGAGACAUAUUGAUAGAUAAUGUAAUGUUAAGGGGUUAAUUUAGCAAUAUAUCUUAAAUUUUUAAUCGACUUCCAGUUAAACGCCUUUUAACUUUGGACUUAACUAAAUUAACUGGCAGCUUAUCCAACAUUGAUACGUGUACCAACAAUGGUCCCACUAUACAUUCGGACAAGAUACCAUUGGACAAACACAAAUGUCUCCAGUUCUCAAAACUGUAAGACGCGUGGCAAUCUAACCACCGUCAGUUGAGACUAAUGCUGACAUGGUAAGGAAAAUCGAGAAUCUCAAACACCGCGCCCAUAGAAAAAAUUGAUGGAUACAAAACUUUUGAUAAUUCCCAUGGGACAUUUUCAUACGAAGGGGAACAUUUUAUUCUCACAAUGUUGGACAUUUUUGUAAAAGAAAAAUUAAAAAAAUAAAAGUUAAUUUUACUCCAAAUAAAAAUUAAUUAUUGUCAAAGAUUUGAAUUCCAAAGAUUGGGUUUGAUUAGUCGAUUAAGUUUUAUCUUAAUUAAUAUAGUUAUUAUUAUCAAUAUAAAAGAAUGUGAGUUUGAGUGUGCUGAAAAAUAACUAUGGAUCAGGAACUAUAAAUGAUUCUAGAUAUUAUGUUAAAAAGAGAUAUAAUCAAACCUAAUAUUAUUAAAAAAAUUCAGUUUGAUUUAACUUCAAAUUCAAUCAAAUGGUUAAAUUCUAUUAUUAGCCCUUAUACAAAGUUGUCAUGUACUUUUAUGAAAGUUAUGAUAUUUUCAAAAUUUGAUACGACAGACAUAUUAUCAUAUACGUAAUGUUAUAUUAGCUUAUUAUUUUCACAUUACUAAAAACUCAAUUAAUAGAUUAACAAUGGUAAUUGUUGUCAAGAACAAAAUUUUAAAUUUUGAAAAGUGUAGGAACUAAGAAUGAUCCUAUUGGAGAAUAUAGACUAAAUCUAUAAUUAUAUGUAUAAUACAAGACUAAUAAUUGAAUUUAACUAAACAUAUUUAAGCGUUAUUGUUUGAAUCAGGAUUAAAAUUGACCGAUUCAAAAAAUAUAAAGACUGAAAUUAAUUAAAUUGCGGGGACUAAAUCUACAAUUUUCAUAAAUUACAGAAUUUAACCUAUCGAACCUAAUCCCAAGAUUCUGCCGUAUAGACCCAAUAGCCUAUAAAUUACAGAGGAUUUUCCACUAACUAUUAGAAAAAAAAAUUAAUAUUUUUGUAAGAGAAAAAAAAAAGAAGAGAGAAAAUGGGGGAAAAAAUGGGGUGUUGUAAGAGAACAGGACCUGGAUAUGCAACUCCAUUGGAAGCCAUGUCUGGUCCUAAAGAAACCAUUAUUUAUGUUAAUUGUAUUUAUAAUGGUACUUUUUUCCUUCUUUUUUUUAAUGAUUUUCUGAUCUUUAAAAAUGAGUUUUUUCAAUGGAUUUGUAUAAAUAUAAUUGUAUGAUGUAUGCAGGAACUGGAAGAAAGAAGCCUGAUUUCCUAGCAACAGUUGAUGUAGAUCCAAACUCGCCAACUUAUUCUAAAGUCAUCCACAGGCUAUCUAUGCCAUAUAUAGGUGAUGAACUACAUCACUCAGGAUGGAAUGCAUGCAGCUCUUGUCAUGGUGAUCCAUCGACCACUCGACGUUUUCUAAUCUUGCCUUCCGUCGUGUAAGCAAUUAACCCGGAUUUUCAUAUUAUAUCGAUAGAUACGGACAUAUCUAUGUCGUUAAGGUACCAAGGUGCUGCUUUCGUAGGUCUGGUCGUGUUUAUGUGAUUGACACACAGAAGAAUCCCAGGGCUCCCUCUUUGCAUAAAGUGGUAGAAUCUGAGGAUAUCGUCGAGCAGACCGGCUUAGCGUAUCCGCACACGUCGCAUUGCCUUGCUUCCGGGGAUAUAAUGAUAUCGUGCCUCGGUGACAAAGAUGGAAAUGCUAAAGGGAAUGGAUUUCUCCUCCUUGAUUCCGAAUUCAACGUCAAAGGGAGGUAAAUACGAUAAACUGAAACAAUGUAUAAACGAAUUGUGAAUAACCGUCACUUGUAAAAAAUUUCCAGGUGGGAGAAACCAGGGCAUAGUCCUCUGUUUAGCUACGAUUUUUGGUACCAACCUCGACAUAAAACCAUGAUCGGCUCGUCAUUGGGCGCUCCGGCUACCUUCACCCGAGGUUUCAAUAUCCAGCAUGUUAAAGAUGGUUUGUAUGCUAGACAUUUGCAUGUGUAUAGCUGGCCUGAUGGUGAACUUAAACAAACGUUGGAC